UAGUCCACGCCCUAAACGAUGCUUACUCGAUAUUUGGACUUCGGUCUGAGUGUCUAAGGGAAACCGAUAAGUAAGCCACCUGGGGAGUACGUUCGCAAGAUUGAAACUCAAAGGAAUUGACGGGGGCCCGCACAAGCGGAGGAACAUGUGGUUUAAUUCGAUGAUACGCGAGGAACCUUACCUGGACUUAAAUGUGCGUUGCAUGGAUUGGAGACAGUCUUUUCUUCGGACUACGUACAAGGUGCUGCAUGGUUGUCGUCAGCUCGUGCCGUGAGGUGUCGGGUUAAGUCCCAUAACGAGCGCAACCCCUAUCCUUAGUUGCCAGCGGAUUAUGCCGGGGACUCUGAGGAGACUGCCACCGUAAGGUGUGAGGAAGGUGGGGAUGACGUCAAAUCAGCACGGCCCUUAUGUCCAGGGCUACACACGUGUUACAAUGGACGGUACAAAGGGCAGCUACCUGGCGACAGGAUGCUAAUCUCUAAAGCCGUUCUCAGUUCGGAUCGAAGUCUGCAACCCGACUUCG
RNAcentral lists this ribosomal RNA (523 nucleotides) under uncultured bacterium. RNAcentral's name for it is "bacterial SSU rRNA". It matches the Rfam family "Bacterial small subunit ribosomal RNA", at positions 791 to 1320 of the family's 1533-position model. The record is from RNAcentral.